CUGGAAGAACUUCUCAUUGCAGAGAACAUACAGAUAUUUAAAAAGAGGCAGAAUGGAAUAGUUAUCAAUGAUAAGCAAACAGAAGCUAUACAAAAGCCAUGGAAAUACCUGCUCAAAUGUUAACCCCAACCCUGCAAUUGGAACAAGCAAACAUAGGGACCCUGUUAUUUCCCCCAUAUAUUUAGUAUAUUUGAUCAUAUAUUUAAUUAUCUUUAAUAUUUAUUUAAUUUGUUUAUUUAGUUUGUUUGACAUAUGUAAUUUGUUGGAGCUUCUAUAAUUUGUGUGGUUUUACAAGUAUCUGAGAG
Molecule: long non-coding RNA, 305 nt
Filed under: Androctonus crassicauda
Lineage: Eukaryota; Metazoa; Arthropoda; Arachnida; Scorpiones; Buthidae
Source: RNAcentral